CCCAUAAGGAUGAGUGUGAUAACAGAGUGGGUUGGCUGGGUGAGGGGGGAGCUGGAGGUUGUUGGCUGUGCUGUGAAGAGUUGCCCAUGAAAAAUCACUGAAAAGGUCAUCACAGCAGCUGUGCCUAUUUGAAGAUGUAGAUCUGUGGGGUUUUCAAGCUCAGUUAGAAGCACCUUUCUACCAAGACUUCAGUACUGCUGUUGAUACUUCUGGAGGGCCUGAAGAACUGUUUGAACUGUCAUGAGGCUGGUAGAUCUGAGCAGUGCUGGAUACGAUGUGGAAGGCCAGUGAUGACAGAGGCAGUGCUACAACAUGGGUGUCUGACCACAGGGCUCAAACUCCUGGAAGAAGCACGUUCAUCCCUUCUGUGAAUUAUGACUGGCAAAAUUCUUCACCUUGGGAAAGAGCUGAAGUGAGUUACAUAAAGCAGCUGCUGUUGGCAUUGCUUCCAUUCUUACAUGACCUAAUUGCAUGGAAAAGACUGACUUAUAAUCAUAAGUGCACGUAGCAACUUGAGUAGACCUCAUUUAUCCUAUUCAAAAAUAUUCUGACUGCAUGAAACCCUUGCUCUGACAUGAAACCCUGCAGGCUUUUUCCUGAGAAAAUAACUGCCUGUUCCAUGGAUGUUUUUGCACAGCCAUCACUGCUGCACUGGAGUGGAUAUGCGAUAUGCAGUUGUUAAUAAGUUCAGUGAAAAGCUACUUUAGAAUCUAGUCGUGGUUCACAGAUGCUGUAAACAUCUAUUUUGAUCAUUUAGGAAACAUGGCUGCUUUUACUAAAAGCAGUGCCUGGGAUGAUUUUGUUUUGAUUGUUCAGCACUGUUGGUGUUGAAAAUAGGUGUGUCAGCAUUUGAAAGAUGGUCCUCAGGCACUCAGAUUUCUUUAAUAGCAAGCAAAAUUCUCAUUAACAGGCAAUUUAAAAAAGCAAUACUAUUCAUUUUUUGGGCUAUUAAGCAUAUAGAGUGUUUAUAUUUCCAGCAAAGAAUGAAUUAAUGGAAAAUAAAGUUCUGUCAUGCACUAGUGCCACAGCAUUUCAACAUAAUGUAUGUGAGGCUGGUUACAAGUCAGCCUUUCAACAGGAUUAUACAUGAUCAAAGCUUCUCAAGUGAGAACUAGGUAGCUUAAACGAUUGAAAACAAUUCUAAUGUUUGUUUUCUCUCUUUCAAAUCGAAGGUUUUUUGUUUUUUCCUUGUUAAACUAAAAAAGCCCCUACACCUGUGGGUCUCUGUAUCUCCCUAAUUACAGGCAGUUGUGUUCAGUGUCACAUCCCUUCAGCGCAGACAGCUCAGGUGUUUUGCCUCAGGUGCACAUUGCUGGUAGGAUCCACCGCAUCAGCCUGAAAAUAUCUGCCUGUUUUGAUGUCUAAAUAAGAGAUCAGGGCCAGGUCAUGGCAAGGGAAAGUGCUGCUCUUUGAAGGAAAGUCCCAGCAGGUAGGAGUGUGUCUGGCAAGGAGGGAUGAACUCGUUCACAGGGGCCUGACUUUCCACCCUCACCUUCCACAAACCCUGACUUCUCAGAGUGAUCAUUCACCAUGGGAGGCCUGGUGCCUGAAGUAGUUAUCUAUCACUAUAAACACAUCUCAAACCAUCAAACACAUCCCACAGGGCUCUUUCAGAUGUUAGGUUACUGAUUUUAAGUCAAUGAAGUGACUUCUGAAUUUUUAUGUGCAUGGACAUAAUGCUAGAGUCUAACAAAAUUCAGUGCUUUUGAAAAAAUCUAUUAACAAGAUAAUACUGAAGUCUUAUUAAUUAAUUGUUUAUCAUUAUCCAGAAAACACCCAUGCAAUCAAGCACAGAUGUUUGGUUUUGAUAUAAAGCUCAUGAAAACCACAACCACACUCACUGCUGUAGGACCUAGUGAAAAUUUGCUAUCACUGUAGCAAUGAUACACGAUUGGAAUUAUUGUUCUGAACAAACCUGUGGGAAGUGGAAAAACAGAAACUUCCACAGGCACUGAGGGGUUUGAUCUGCAGACUUGGAAGAAGCUCAGAUUGAUGUAAAAAUACAAUACACAGACAUUAAGUAGAAAAAUCAUAAACUUACGUUUUUAUAGUUGUAAGUAAGAAUGUGCCUUAAGUAAGUGAGAAACUGUAUUGAUAAGGUGGUGAAGAGUUUAUAGUAUAGGGGUGUGGUUGUGUGGAGUAAGCUAAGAGUUUGGAAGUUAAUAUAGAAGUGUGUUAUGAUAGAAUAUAUGUGUGUUAUGGUGGAAUACAUGUGUUUAUUUGAGAUAGCAGCCCAUUGGACAAAAGCAUCUGCAGUGCAGCAAAAUGAGGUAAAGGUAAUAGGUUAGAAAAACAAAAUAAACUUUGUGGCAUCUCUCUACUGGAUUAGAAAGUUAUAUAUUGUCCUGUAACAAGGAACUUGUGACUACUUGGAGCUCUGGCUGACUGCUUGCUCCCUUAAAAUC
Long non-coding RNA from Passer domesticus (house sparrow), 2405 nucleotides. RefSeq lists it as uncharacterized. The record is from RefSeq and is a predicted model, not a curated record. NCBI's taxonomy places the organism in Eukaryota, Metazoa, Chordata, Aves, Passeriformes, Passeridae. The transcript is spliced from 7 exons.